UGCAAAUGAAGUCUACAGUGCAACCGGACAAAGAGGUUCUAGCCGUACGUGCGGCAUCUUAUGCCUCCUUCAGGAAGCUGAGGCUUCUCCGCCGGUCAGUGGAGCGUGACUGAAUGAUUUGAAGCAGUACGGUGACUUCAGACUGGCUGACUCUCGGAAAGCAACCCCAGGUAGAACACGGAAAAUGGAAAAAGAAAAAGAUGCUAGAAUUUCAAGGAGGCCACUCAGUGGCUAAGUCGUCUCUAAUGGGUCCUGUCUCAGAAACGACGUCCGCUGGUGUCCUACAUAUAUCUCUGUGGUUGUACAGCUUACAUCAGGCUCCAUGCUGAGAAUAAAUACACAAGCAAGUUCUUUAAAGUUUUCAGAGAACAAUUACAACACCUAGAACUUGAUGCUCGAAGAAGUCAAGGGAUUUGGAGGUGGAAAUCAGGAGACCACGCUGCAAUUUCCUUCAAGGCACCUGCUGAGUCUUAAAUUGCGUGAGACAGGCAGCAAAGGCCUAUGAGAGAGGUAUUUCAAACAUGAUCUCCAGGCUGGCUUUGUGGCAGGCGUCUUCCCGUCUCAGCUUCCUGAGUGCUGAGAAUACAGAUGCAAGCUUGUUCUGCACGGAGCCCCAGUCCUGUACUCCAGCGAAUAGCCUAUUGCCUUCAUCACAGUGUCUAUCCGUUCAUAGGUACCUCAGUCCAGGGGCUGGAGAGAAGGCUUAAGAGCUAAAAUGCUUGUGUGCAAGCAUGAGACUCUGAGUCCAGACUGUAGCAUCCAUUUGAAAAACAGAAUGUUAGCGCAUGCUGUAAUUCCUGACCUGGAGCUGGAGAUAAGAGGAAUCUGGGGGCUCACUGGUUGACCAGUAUAGCCUAUUUGUGAGUUCCAUUUUCAAUGAGAAGGCCUUUC
Non-coding RNA from Myodes glareolus (Bank vole), 891 nucleotides. NCBI's taxonomy places the organism in Eukaryota, Metazoa, Chordata, Mammalia, Rodentia, Cricetidae. The record is from RefSeq and is a predicted model, not a curated record.